This 455-nucleotide ribosomal RNA is filed under the name Granulicatella adiacens. Its description in RNAcentral is "bacterial SSU rRNA". It matches the Rfam family "Bacterial small subunit ribosomal RNA", at positions 28 to 470 of the family's 1533-position model. The record is from RNAcentral. Lineage: Bacteria; Bacillati; Bacillota; Bacilli; Lactobacillales; Carnobacteriaceae.
GACGAACGCUGGCGGCGUGCCUAAUACAUGCAAGUCGAACGAGAGCGACCGGUGCUUGCACUGGUCAAUCUAGUGGCGAACGGGUGAGUAACACGUGGGUAACCUGCCCAUCAGAGGGGGAUAACAUCCGGAAACGGAUGCUAAAACCGCAUAGGUCUUCGAGUCGCAUGGCUUGAAGAGGAAAAGAGGCGCAAGCUUCUGCUGAUGGAUGGACCCGCGGUGCAUUAGCUAGUUGGUGAGGUAACGGCUCACCAAGGCCGUGAUGCAUAGCCGACCUGAGAGGGUGAUCGGCCACAUUGGGACUGAGACACGGCCCAAACUCCUACGGGAGGCAGCAGUAGGGAAUCUUCCGCAGUGGACGCAAGUCUGACGGAGCAACGCCGCGUGAGUGAAGAAGGUUUUCGGAUCGUAAAACUCUGUUGUUAGAGAAGAACAAGUGCUAGAGUAACCGUUAG